CAGUCUGGUGAUGUGGGCGUGGUCAGUGUGUGUGUGUGUGUGUGUGUGUGUGUAAGAGUAUAAAUAGAGAGCAGGAGAGACAGUCUGUCCUUUCUUUUCUCCGGACUCCUUCAGUCUGCAGGAGCAGAAACUCAGAGCGUUCAGGCUCUGCUGCUCCGAGAGGAUUUCUUCAGUCAUGUAGACUGCGCUUGCAUCUUAUCUAUCAUUGGAGGAGGAAGAGGAGUAAAUUCACAUCUGCCAAGGGAUGUGUCACUCAGUCCUUCUGUUCCCUGCGUCAGACUUCGUCUGCGCUCAGGGUCCAGCGGGUCUGGAGUGAACAGGACCGGGCCAACUCUGACCUGCCAUUCGAGAAGAAGACACCAGAACCAACCACAAAAACCACAAAGACAUGAACGCGCUAAUGCACUAAACAAUGAAAGCACUAAAACCCUUUAUGGGUUCUGGUGCCUGUUUCUUGGUUGGCAGGGUUAGUGGUUGCCCUGUCGUUGAACAGAAACCUAAUAUUCUUAACUCUUCAAAGCUGUACGGCAUUUUUCAACUUAAAACUAAAAAUACAUAAAAAUAGUAAAACCAUGAAACGGAA
Molecule: long non-coding RNA, 583 nt
Organism: Clarias gariepinus (North African catfish)
Lineage: Eukaryota; Metazoa; Chordata; Actinopteri; Siluriformes; Clariidae
Exons: 3
Source: RefSeq, a predicted model, not a curated record